GACGAACGCUGGCGGCGUGCUUAACACAUGCAAGUCGAACGGAAAGGCCCCUUUGGGGGUACUCGAGUGGCGACCGGGGGAGUAACACGUGGGUAACCUGCCCUUGCCUUCGUGAUAACUUCAGGAAACUGGGGCUAAUACCGGAUAGGAAUCCUUGCUGCAAGGGGGGGGAUGGAAAGCUUUGUGGGCCUUGGGUGGAUUGGCGGCUUAACGGCUUGUUGGUGGGGUAGUGGGUUACCAACGCGUUGAGGGGUAGCCGGACUGUGGGGGCGAGCGGCCGCCUUGGGACCUAGAGACGGCACAGGUGCCGACGGGAGGCAGCAGGGGGGAAUAUUGCACCAUCGGCGGAAGCCUGAUGCAGCAACGCCGCGUGCGGUAUGACGGCCUUCUGGUUGUAAAACGCUUUCAGCAGGGGCGAAGCUUGUGGUGACGGUACCUGCAGAAGAAGCACCGGCUAACUACGUG
RNAcentral lists this ribosomal RNA (465 nucleotides) under uncultured bacterium. RNAcentral's name for it is "partial 16S ribosomal RNA". It matches the Rfam family "Bacterial small subunit ribosomal RNA", at positions 28 to 507 of the family's 1533-position model. The record is from RNAcentral.